CAGUCUUCUCCCAAUAUCUGUGAGCAUCAUUAUGAGAUUUUGUUUACACUCUUUGUUGGGUGCAACCCAUCAGGCAUCCAUUGACCAACAGAGGACUCCCUGCACAGCACACCAGAAUGCCUAAGUGAUCCAGGCAUCUAUACAAUUGAAGAUAGUUGGACUGGACCUCUGGGAGGCAGUGGAACUAUGGAAGCAGCCCCCUCCCCCUCCCCUAGUGGUGGCAAUCCAUAACGUGGAUCCUCACAGCAGCA
RNAcentral lists this long non-coding RNA (251 nucleotides) under Equus caballus (horse). Its description in RNAcentral is "lncRNA (ENSECAG00000053550.1)". Lineage: Eukaryota; Metazoa; Chordata; Mammalia; Perissodactyla; Equidae. The record is from RNAcentral.